UACGGCCCCAUCACGGUGAAACAUCGGUUCCCGUACGAUUACCGAAGUUAAGCAAUGUCGAGCCUGGUCAGUACCAAAAUGGGUGACGUCUUGGCAAUGAUAUGUGCUGUA
This is a non-coding RNA of Acanthosepion pharaonis, 111 nucleotides long. The record is from the annotation of a GenBank genome assembly. NCBI's taxonomy places the organism in Eukaryota, Metazoa, Mollusca, Cephalopoda, Sepiida, Sepiidae.